RNAcentral lists this ribosomal RNA (120 nucleotides) under Octodon degus (degu). Lineage: Eukaryota; Metazoa; Chordata; Mammalia; Rodentia; Octodontidae. The record is from RNAcentral.
GUCUACAGCCAUACCAUCCUGAACACACCUGAUCUCGUGUGAUCGCAGAAGCUAAGCAGGGUUGGGCCUGCUUAGUACUUGGAUGGGAGACCAUUGGAGGAUGUUGCAUGACUGGGGAUG